GGAAAUUGUAGAUUAUUGUAUGAACAGAGGUAUUGCAUUAACUCAGGCUCGCUAUCUGGAGAAAGAAGAGAAAUUUCUUCCACCACCCAGCAUUCGGGUUGUAGUAACAGUAGAGCAAACGGAACAGGAGCUGGACACAGCUGCCUCGCUGAUCAGGGAAGCUGCUGAGUGUGUGCUGAACUGAGACCUACAAAGGUGGAUGUUUAUUGCUCACAGAACAGUGGACACCUGUUUACUACAGUGCAAUAAAUUGGCUUGCACUCCAAAGGUUCUUCAGCAUCAUCUAAUGGAACUGAAACCUUGACUUCCACUGAGUCAUUCCAGAAUAAAAAUAUGUCACAGAUGUGGAAAUACUAAAAAUACACUGUAUGUACAGAAUUCAGCUCUAUUUUUAUGCAUUGUUUAAACUGGAGAUCAUUGUUACGCUGGUAUUUUACAUUAUUUUCACUUCAGUUCUUAUAAGAGCAUAAUUCCUUUCCAUAAUUCUCUAAAUGUGUUAAAUAAAACAAGCUAUUUUUGAGAGUUUAUGUGUAAUGCUAAUGAGCAUGAAAAGAAUAUGAAAACUUAAAGAAUAUUCUUAAUUUAACUAUGCCACACUUAAUGAAAAUAUUGAAAAUAACAUCUUUUCCACACACAAAAGUUCCUGUUAUUGUUGAGCUGGAUAGUUAAAAUGCUAUUAUGGGAUCCUUCUUUUGAAUUAUGUACUUAUAUACCUUUUAUUACACUGGGUAUGUGGGAAUUUAUACACUAAUUUUUAAAAAAAGAUGUUUUGAUUUUUGAAAUUCUCAGAGGCAGUUCUUAAGCAGUUUGUCAAAUUUACAUCAAGCAUCACAUCUCAUGGCACUGCCUCAUACCAAUAUAAGUUGACCUCUGCAUUGAUUUGAUAAUACAUUUAGCCAUUAUGCUAGUGCCCCAGUCACUAAUGCUGUGCAGAUAUGGAAGUUAUAAGAGAAACUUGGAAUUAUCAUUAAUUAAUGGAUUGGGCACACAGGAAUUUCUGCAGGGAGAUACCCUCUGCAUGGAAAGUAAGCAAGAUCAGCAUGUGUGAUUUGUCUGUGUACUAAAGCUCACACAGAGAUCUGAUGCCUUCAUUUGUAUGAGUACAUGAUCUUUCACCACACACUGAAAAUUCAUUUG
Molecule: long non-coding RNA, 1137 nt
Organism: Sceloporus undulatus (fence lizard)
Lineage: Eukaryota; Metazoa; Chordata; Lepidosauria; Squamata; Phrynosomatidae
Exons: 3
Source: RefSeq, a predicted model, not a curated record